GCCCUUUAUCGGAUUUGAACCGAUGACUUAUGC
This 33-nucleotide transfer RNA is filed under the name Bambusa multiplex (hedge bamboo). RNAcentral's name for it is "partial tRNA-Thr". The record is from RNAcentral. RNAcentral also lists the same sequence under 96 other names. Lineage: Eukaryota; Viridiplantae; Streptophyta; Magnoliopsida; Poales; Poaceae.